This 253-nucleotide ribosomal RNA is filed under the name uncultured bacterium. RNAcentral's name for it is "partial 16S ribosomal RNA". It matches the Rfam family "Bacterial small subunit ribosomal RNA", at positions 524 to 776 of the family's 1533-position model. The record is from RNAcentral.
UACGGGGGGGGCAAGCGUUGUUCGGAAUUACUGGGCGUAAAGGGCUCGUAGGUGGCCAACUAAGUCAUACGUGAAAUCCCUCGGCUCAACUGAGGAACUGCCUUUGAAACUGUCGGGCUUGAGGUCGGGAGAGGGUAGUGGAAUUCCCAGUGUAGCGGUGAAAUGCGUAGAUAUUGGGAGGAACACCAGUGGCGAAGGCGGCUACCUGGGCCGGUUCUGACGCUGAGGCGCGAAAGCGUGGGUAGCAAACAGG